This 465-nucleotide ribosomal RNA is filed under the name Vreelandella stevensii. Its description in RNAcentral is "partial 16S ribosomal RNA". It matches the Rfam family "Bacterial small subunit ribosomal RNA", at positions 338 to 795 of the family's 1533-position model. The record is from RNAcentral. Lineage: Bacteria; Pseudomonadati; Pseudomonadota; Gammaproteobacteria; Oceanospirillales; Halomonadaceae.
CCUACGGGGGGCAGCAGUGGGGAAUAUUGGACAAUGGGGGCAACCCUGAUCCAGCCAUGCCGCGUGUGUGAAGAAGGCCCUCGGGUUGUAAAGCACUUUCAGUGAGGAAGAACGCCUGGUGGUUAAUACCCAUCAGGAAAGACAUCACUCACAGAAGAAGCACCGGCUAACUCCGUGCCAGCAGCCGCGGUAAUACGGAGGGUGCGAGCGUUAAUCGGAAUUACUGGGCGUAAAGCGCGCGUAGGUGGCUUGAUAAGCCGGAUGUGAAAGCCCCGGGCUCAACCUGGGAACGGCAUCCGGAACUGUCAAGCUAGAGUGCAGGAGAGGAAGGUAGAAUUCCCGGUGUAGCGGUGAAAUGCGUAGAGAUCGGGAGGAAUACCAGUGGCGAAGGCGGCCUUCUGGACUGACACUGACACUGAGGUGCGAAAGCGUGGGUAGCAAACAGGAUUAGAUACCCUUGUAGUC